AUUCAUCUUUUUCCUCAUUUUAAAGUUUCUAAUAUCCACUUCCUGAAGCGUUUAAUCCUUCCAAAUUCCAAUUCAUUCCACUGCCACAUUUGUACUUUAUUGUUCCUUUAAAAUCCCAAUUAAAAAAAAAAGUUUCUCAAAAAUUGUUCAGAAAGAUCCUGAGGAUCAAAUUAGGGCAUAGAAGCCUCUCCAAACGACGGAACAAAAGCAGCCGACAAGUCACCUUCUCCAAACGAUGCAACGGUCUCAUGGAGAAAGCACGUUAGCUUUCUGUUCUCUGUGAUGCCUCCGUCGCUCUUCUCGCUGUCCCCGCAAGCUCUACAGCUUCUCCUCUGGCAAUAAGUACGACUUCUCCUCCUCUGGGUUUAGCUAACUUCUCCUCCGCCUACGACUUCUCCUUCUAGAAGGCUCUUCUGGAACCUGGACGCAUACUUUCAGCUUGUGGUGACUGAAUCUGUCUGUUGUUUUCAAAUAUUUAGCUGAUCUUUCUUUAUCCAUCAUUAUAACAUCUGGGUAAGCAGCAUCCUCUAUCAAAGAUUUAGCUGAUCUUUCUUUAUCCAUCAUUAUAACAUCUGGGUAAGCAGCAUCCUCUAUCUUAUUCUUGCUUCUGCAAAGAAUUAUGUCAUCUUUUUAACGUUAGAUACACAUUUUCAUGUAAAAAAAAAUCGAGUAAUAACUGCUUGUUACCUCACUAUGUAAGGUCGUUUUAGAAGGCACAACGUCAUCAAUGAUCACUUAUCAUAUUCAUAUUUGUUAGUUAAGCUUGACUACACAUUUGGUUGCAGUCUUAUUUGUAUAGCAACAUUAUAUCUGCACAUAUCAUUCGACUCUUAUCCUUCACCCAUUGGCUGCUGAUUUGCUAACUUUCCAUUGUUUCUCUUUUUGUCAUGAUUCAACUGUAGUUAUCUUGGUUAUGAAAUACAAGACUUUGUCACCGAUGAAUUCUUUCUCAUCUGAACUUGGGAUGCAAUUUGGUACUUGUUUAGAGGCUCCACAUGUGAUUGAUGUUAAUCUGCAGGUGUGGGCUGGUGCAAUCUCCAAUGGUCCUGGUAAUUAUCGUCUAAAUGGAAGUUAUAAAACAGCUGAUGCAUACUCAUUCCAGGACGCUCUAGGGAAAUAGUUAGAAGAAAUGUGCACUAUUGUACCAGGUGGUUCGCUUGUAUUUUUUCCAAGCUAUAAAUUGAUGGAAAAACUUUGUACGCGUUGGCGUGAAAUUGGGCAAUGAUCACGCCUCUGCCUUAAAAAGGAUGUUUUUGUUGGGUUAUUAUUAUUUUAUACGCGGAAAGCACACAUCGAUUGGACGAAAUAGACGAGCUAAGAAAGCAGGGUUUGUUAAAACUGAAAGUCAAGAUGAUCUCAAGAAAGGAGCUGCAUUUUUGGCAGUAUUUAGAGGAAAGGUCUAUUGAGCAUGAUUUACAAUUUAAGGGAGCUAUCCAAUCAUUGAGCAUGAUAUGGGUUACCUUUUACCAUUCACAGAAUAUAACUUAUUUGAAAACUUUGAUGACUAGAGAGUUUAAAGCCUACAUGUUUCUCACAGGUUUCAGAAUGAAUUGACUUUGCGGACGACAACGCCAGGGUAGUGGUAUCCUUUUCAUUAUAUUGGCUGGGAAUACUGUUUCGUCAAUUACUGCAGUCUUUUACUGCCAUAGAAGCUGUAGGACAAAUAGGAUUUAUACUGCACAAUUUGGCUAAUGAAUGGGCUGCUGAACGUUGAUGAUUACACAGAUAAUUGUUGGCAUUCCAUUUCUAAACUUGUAAGAAUUCUAUUUCCAUUUAAUUUUUUUUCCAGCUUCGUUCAAAAUCAAUUUAGGGGGAACAGUUUUCUAACGAG
This is a long non-coding RNA of Eutrema salsugineum, 1831 nucleotides long. RefSeq lists it as uncharacterized. Lineage: Eukaryota; Viridiplantae; Streptophyta; Magnoliopsida; Brassicales; Brassicaceae. The record is from RefSeq and is a predicted model, not a curated record. The transcript has 5 exons.